GUUCAGGCAUCAGCUGAGGAAGGGAGGGAUCACUGCUCCACCAAAUGUAAAGAUGAGCGCCCAAAGAGGGUUUACCAGGCUGGCUCAGCAAGUUCUGCUCCAGACCAAAAGGUUUCUCAGUUGAGAAGUGCUGCUAUCAAGGUACAGCAAAGCUCUGUCAAAUCACUGCUAAUCUUGCAGUGAUUAGCCUUCAGCCUGAAGGAGCUGGUGCACUGAUUUUUCUUCUUGCACAAGAAGCUGCAGUGAGGGAUCGGGACACUAGAUGGUGGUGUCACUCCAGAAACAUUCCAGCGAUGUGUGACAAUGCCGGGACACCAAAUCACGGCUCUUUCAGCGCGGUUUGCUCCCUGCAACACGAAAUUUGAGGCGAAUAAGAUGUGAUGUGGUAACGUUAUUCAGACCCAGACUUUUUGAGUUAGAUUUGAAAGCUGUAAACAAUUUCUAACUGUUUUCCAGAAAAGGAGACCUUGAGUCUGAUUAUUUUGCAGUUAAUCAUUAUUGAUCUACUUGAAAACCAGUGAAAUCUUUAUUUCUGGUGAUAUGAGCACAAAUUCUGAUGGAAAAAAGAAACCCAGACCCUCGAUAUCUCAACCACUGACAUCAGUGAUGUUAAGGAAGAUUCACAGCCAUGUUCCUGCUUGCUUUCUUCAGUUAUGUCUUAGUGUGAGGUUAAUAAAAAGUGCACGUGAGAUGUGGAAAUCACCAUUUUUAAUUAUUAGAUAUUGUAGAUUGACUGCAAAACAAAUCCAGUUCUGAUUGGGAAUAGAAUGCAAAAAUAAAUCAGGUACAUGUUACUCCUACUGUGACCAUUUCAGUUUCAACAAAUUGCAAACUGGAAUUGAUUUCUAUACAUAAACUAUGAACAAAAAAGAAUUACAAAACUUCUCAGCAGCCUGAAAAGUCAAUA
This is a long non-coding RNA of Passer domesticus (house sparrow), 907 nucleotides long. RefSeq lists it as uncharacterized. The record is from RefSeq and is a predicted model, not a curated record. Lineage: Eukaryota; Metazoa; Chordata; Aves; Passeriformes; Passeridae. The transcript has 3 exons.